GGGAAGUCCUCGUGUUGCACCC
Molecule: ribosomal RNA, 22 nt
Filed under: Populus deltoides
Lineage: Eukaryota; Viridiplantae; Streptophyta; Magnoliopsida; Malpighiales; Salicaceae
Also listed under: 1 other name
Source: RNAcentral